This 365-nucleotide transfer-messenger RNA is filed under the name Atopobiaceae. RNAcentral describes it as "UBA1367 sp902801175 Standard tmRNA". It matches the Rfam family "transfer-messenger RNA". From Rfam's summary of the family: Bacterial tmRNA, also known as 10Sa RNA or SsrA, is named for its dual tRNA and mRNA-like properties. RNAcentral also lists the same sequence under 1 other name. Lineage: Bacteria; Bacillati; Actinomycetota; Coriobacteriia; Coriobacteriales. The record is from RNAcentral.
GGGGGUGACUGGUUUCGACAGGGUUGUUCUGAGGUGGGCAGCAAGCCGUGGUCUCCUCGCCACGUUAAACAGGGGUACCGUCAAAAUGAAUUGACGACAACUCUUUUGUGGGCGACUACGCCCUCGCCGCAUAACAUAAGUCGGCGCGUCUAACCGGGGGUUUCCCUCGCUUCCGGGGCGACGUCAUUUGAGGGGGAUGCUCCUGCGGAUGUAGCUGGUAUGCCGCAGGCUAAGACCAAACCCGCUAGGGUGCCGAUUGUGGGUCACCACGCGUGACGCACCCGAAUCCUUCGUGGUGACUGAGCUUGGAGACACCUGCCAGGGGAUGGCUUUGGACCGGAGUUCGAUUCUCCGCACCUCCACCA